Pygocentrus nattereri (red-bellied piranha) is the source of this 1954-nucleotide long non-coding RNA. The record is from Ensembl. Lineage: Eukaryota; Metazoa; Chordata; Actinopteri; Characiformes; Serrasalmidae.
GGUCUCUAUGGUGCAGUGUAUGUUACGCAACACGAGACGAUGCAGCUGACCCUGUUUCCUGUGUUGCUUUUUGGUAUGCAGUGGAUGGCCACCACAUUAGCAGGCAUUGGACCUCGACCGGACUGUGGCGUAAGGACAAGAAAAGUACAUACCAGUCACCCAAAUUUUGGGCUAAGUGCAACAGGAUCCAGCACUGUGUGCCAUCAGAGCUGUAAGAGCAACUGGGCCAAAUAUGCAAUGUGUGCAGUGGACAAAAGACAAAGCACCAGCAGAGCAGAUCUGAGCUGUAGAGGGCUACAAACUGUAAACUGGACAACCCACUACUCCACCAAUACCAGCAACAAGGACAAAUACAGCGGGCACACAGCCACAACCUACUCACUGAUGAAGAAAUCACCAUCCCUCAGUGAAAGGAAUAGUGGGUCAUUUGCUCAUAUCCAAGAGAAAGGCACACAAUCUUCAACCAUUAAUGACCAGCCUCCAAUCAAGAACAGCAGUUUUUAAGCAAUUAAGCAUUUUCCACAGAUUUUCAGUGAUGUUUAAGACAGGGGCUGGGAGAGCUAGUCCAAAAGCUUCAGCUUAUGCUUCUUGAAGAAGUAGUUUUUGAGAUGUGUUUUGGGUCAUUGUCCUGGUGUUGCCAGCAGGAAAAGAUGCCAGCCUCUUUUCAGCUUUAGCUUUUGAAUCACGUUCAUCGAGUCCAGGCUUCCAUGCCACCUGAGCAGUUUUAGAGCCACAAAAAUCUAAAGUUGACAAGGUGUUCUUUACAUCAAAUGCUGCUCCUUUUUCUUCUAAAAUACAUCUGGCUUAUCUAGAUGUUUUGUGAACUUUAGACAUUGAGGUUUGGGAUGAGGUCACAGGUAAGGUGUCCUUCAAGCUGUAGGAGUCCAUAGCUGUCAAAUGAAAAUUCAUUACACUCUGGAAAUGUCACCAGCUGGCAAUUCCUGAUGCACUUCUUGGCAUUCUUAACCAGUCCCCACUAGUCAAUUAAAGCCUAACAAGUUCAUUCUGAGACGUUUCCAAAUGUUUGCACAUUCCACAAUUGCGAUUCUCAAUUUUAUAUUUUUUACUUCUCUUGAAAAACCAAAAAUGUAAUAUUGCCAGGCGUGACCAAACGUCGGCAUACAACUGUAUAAUUGAUUUGUUUAAUCAAAGUAACACUAAAAUGCGACUGUUGUGUAAAUUCAUGCAUGUUCUUUUCAAAAAUGUACUUUGUGAGAAAACACAUUAAUAAGUCAUUCAAGGCAACUUGGUCAUUGGCUCAACAUUGUAAGUGGCUUAACUCUGUUUAAACAUGUAUACAAAGUUCUGUUAAUAAACUCAGAUACGCAAGAUGAGGACAUACUUCACUUCACACGCACACUUUCUAAGCUGCUUAUCCUCCUGGGUCAUUGGGGUAAGGCAGGAAAUACUGUAGACAGGUCGCCAGUACAUCACAGAGCAGACAUACAGAUGUAUACAUUUACACCUGGGGCCAAUUUAGCAUCUCCAGUUAGCCUGGAGCCAUGGGGAGCUGGGGAACUGAAACCAAGCCCUUCUUGCUGUGACAGCACCCUUAUUUUCACUCAUUUACAGUAAAAAAAAAAAGCUUGCCUACACAGCAAGCUUGCUACCAUCAACUGAUUCCCAGCUUUAGAGCCAUAAUAGUCUGAAUAACAAAUGUAGUAAAAAAAAGUUAGUAAUGUAUAAAGUAUAAAAAAGUUAUAUCAUUAUUUCUUAAUUUAACAAUUGAACAAAGCAUCAUCUCACAGCAAGAUGUGUCCAUGUGUUCAUGCAUGCGUGUCUGGGUUCAGCAUUUGGCCGUCCGUCUCACCCCCAGUGUUUCAACCAAACUUGUACCAAUGAGUUUGGUGAACCAUGAGUGCAGAAGCAUGCCAAAGCAUUUCUAGUUGUGAUGUGGGCCAAUACCUUCUAAAACAUCAUGCUUCAAAUCACGCUCUUUGUCUGAAAGGAACCU